This 624-nucleotide unclassified non-coding RNA is filed under the name Hevea brasiliensis (rubber tree). The record is from RNAcentral. Lineage: Eukaryota; Viridiplantae; Streptophyta; Magnoliopsida; Malpighiales; Euphorbiaceae.
GCGUCAGCAGAGAGAAAAUCUGUCAGUAGAGGCGAAUCUUCUUUCUCACUGCCGUUCAGUGGUCGUCCCCGUCCCUUUUGGGUAGGAGUGGCCUCCCUCCUUUACUUGGAUGUUAGGUACCUUUUACCUGCUGUUUGUGUUUUAGUUUGUUGCUUGUGAAUCUGUGUGGGGGAGGAGUAUGUUGGAGACGUUCAUGGCAUUGUUUUUACAGCUUUGAAUAUCGAAAACUCUAUAAGAGAGCGAGAUAGCCAGAGGACCACCCUCUGUCUUUUCAGUGAACAUGGUUUGGUGCUUGCUUGCUUUGUUUGGAUGGCUGGUGUGGAUCUCUCUGAUCUAGGGCUCUUUGUGCUUGGGACGGUUCCUUCAGGCUUCUGCCGAGUCUUGGUCCUGUGGUGCUUCGUCAAUCUCCUCUUCCCCCUAGCGAAGAAUCUGUGACUUUUCAGUAUACCCCUCAACUGUGUGGUUUGGCUUCAAUUCCCUUUCCCGUGGGCCGUUGUUUUUUGGGGUUAUGGUUAUCAAUCGUUAAGCCGAGGUCUCCAGUCAGUAUGAUGUGUUCCCCAUUGUUCAUGGCCGUCUACGGCGUUUGAAUGCCCUCCCUUGUGCCUUCGUGUUGAGUGUGUUUGC